AGAGUUUGAUUCUGGCUCAGGACGAACGCUGGCGGCGUGCCUAACACAUGCAAGUCGAGCGGAGAAUCAUUGAAGAGUAAUCAGAGAUGGUUUUAGCGGCGGACGGGUGAGUAACGCGUGGGCAACCUACCUUUAACUGGGGGAUAACACAGGGAAACUUGUGCUAAUACCGCAUAACAUAUUGAAAGGACAUCCUUUUAAUAUCAAAGGAGCAAUCCGGUGAGAGAUGGGCCCGCGUCCAAUUAGCUAGUUGGUGAGGUAAUGGCCCACCAAGGCGACGAUUGGUAGCCGAACUGAGAGGUUGAUCGGCCACAUUGGGACUGAGACACGGCCCAGACUCCUACGGGAGGCAGCAGUGGGGAAUAUUGCGCAAUGGGGGAAAAACCCCCUGACGCAGCAACGCCGCGUGAAGGAUGAAGGUUUUCGGAUCGUAAACUUCUUUGAUGAGGGACGAAACAAAUGACGGUACCUCAAAAACAAGCCACGGCUAACUACGUGCCAGCCGCCGC
Molecule: ribosomal RNA, 509 nt
Filed under: uncultured bacterium
Lineage: Bacteria
Description: bacterial SSU rRNA
Rfam family: Bacterial small subunit ribosomal RNA
Source: RNAcentral